GCAUCGAUGAAGAACGCAGCGAAAUGCGAUACUUGGUGUGAAUUGCAGAAUCCCGUGAACCAUCGAGUCUUUGAACGCAAGUUGCGCCCCAAGCCAUUAGGCUGAGGGCACGUCUGCCUGGGUGUCACG
This 129-nucleotide ribosomal RNA is filed under the name Acronychia wilcoxiana. RNAcentral describes it as "partial 5.8S ribosomal RNA". It matches the Rfam family "5.8S ribosomal RNA", at positions 30 to 154 of the family's 154-position model. Rfam says of the family: 5.8S ribosomal RNA (5.8S rRNA) is a component of the large subunit of the eukaryotic ribosome. It is transcribed by RNA polymerase I as part of the 45S precursor that also contains 18S and 28S rRNA. The record is from RNAcentral. Lineage: Eukaryota; Viridiplantae; Streptophyta; Magnoliopsida; Sapindales; Rutaceae.